RNAcentral lists this ribosomal RNA (301 nucleotides) under uncultured bacterium. RNAcentral's name for it is "partial 16S ribosomal RNA". It matches the Rfam family "Bacterial small subunit ribosomal RNA", at positions 509 to 807 of the family's 1533-position model. The record is from RNAcentral.
CAGUCGCCGCGGUAAUACAGAGGGUGCGAGCGUUAAUCGGAUUUACUGGGCGUAAAGCGUGCGUAGGCGGCUUCUUAAGUCGGAUGUGAAAUCCCUGAGCUUAACUUAGGAAUUGCAUUCGAUACUGGGAAGCUAGAGUAUGGUAGAGGAUGGUAGAAUUCCAGGUGUAGCGGUGAAAUGCGUAGAGAUCUGGAGGAAUACCGAUGGCGAAGGCAGCCAUCUGGCCUAAUACUGACGCUGAGGUACGAAAGCAUGGGGAGCAAACAGGAUUAGAUACCCGAGUAGUCCCUGUCUCUUAUAC